Molecule: non-coding RNA, 146 nt
Organism: Brugia malayi
Lineage: Eukaryota; Metazoa; Nematoda; Chromadorea; Rhabditida; Onchocercidae
Source: RefSeq, a predicted model, not a curated record
UAACAACGUCAAAAAAUGAGCAAGGAAAAGAGAGAGAAAGAGAAGGCGAAGAAAAAAACAAUACUUACUUUGAAAUUACUCUCCAAUUUCUUUCCUUCUUCUUUUUAUGUUCACUCUCUCUCCCUCCCUCUCUCCCCUCAUGUCUU